RNAcentral lists this ribosomal RNA (503 nucleotides) under uncultured bacterium. Its description in RNAcentral is "bacterial SSU rRNA". It matches the Rfam family "Bacterial small subunit ribosomal RNA", at positions 28 to 529 of the family's 1533-position model. The record is from RNAcentral.
GACGAACGCUGGCGGCGUGCUUAGCACAUGCAAGUCGAACGGGAGUAUUGAAGAAGCUUGCUUUAGAGAUACUUUAGUGGCGGACGGGUGAGUAACGCGUGAGGAGCUGUCCUAUGCAGGGGGACAACAGCUGGAAACGGCUGCUAAUACCCCAUAAGCCGAGAGGUAAAAGGAUCAAUCCGGCAGAGGAGGUACUCGCGUCCUAUCAGCUAGUAGGUGAGGUAACGGCUCACCUAGGCGAAGACGGGUAGCCGGCCUGAGAGGGCGAACGGCCACACUGGAACUGAGAUACGGUCCAGACUCCUACGGGAGGCAGCAGUGGGGAAUAUUGGACAAUGGGGGAAACCCUGAUCCAGCCAUGCCGCGUGCAGGAUGAAGGCCUUCGGGUUGUAAACUGCUUUGUACGGACGAAAGGUCUUUUCUAAUAAAGAAGACUCAUGACGGUACCGUAAGAAUAAGCACCGGCUAAUUACGUGCCAGCAGCCGCGGUAAGCAUACUCGUA